UAAUACCGCAUACGUCCACCGGGUGCUUCUCGGUGAAGAAAGACCGCCUAUUCUUGAAAGCGGUCGUGCUCAGAGGGGUCCGCGGCUGAUUAGCUAGUUGGUGAGGUAAUGGCUCACCAAGGCGACGAUCAGUAGCCGGCCUGAGAGGGUGAUCGGCCACACUGGAACUGAGACACGGUCCAGACUCCUACGGGAGGCAGCAGUGGGGAAUAUUGGACAAUGGGCGAAAGCCUGAUCCAGCAACGCCGCGUGGAGGAUGAAGGCCUUCGGGUUGUAAACUCCUGUCAGGUGGAACGAAAAAGCCUGCCCAACAAGCAGGUACUAUGACGGUACCACCAGAGGAAGCCCCGGCUAACUCUGUGCCAGCAGCCGCGGUAAUACAGAGGGGGCAAGCGUUAUUCGGAAUUAUUGGGCGUAAAGGGCGCGUAGGCGGCAUUGUAAGUCAGGGGUGAAAUCCCUCGGCUCAACCGAGGAAUUGCCUCUGAAACUGCAUUGCUUGAGACCGGGAGAGGGUAGUGGAAUUCCCAGUGUAGCGGUGAAAUGCGUAGAUAUUGGGAGGAACACCGGUGGCGAAGGCGGCUACCUGGACCGGUUCUGACGCUGAGGCGCGAAAGUGUGGGGAGCAAACAGGAUUAGAUACCCUGGUAGUCCACACUGUAAACGAUGGAUACUAGACGUGGUGGGUCUUGACCCCUGCUGUGUCGAAGUU
This 709-nucleotide ribosomal RNA is filed under the name uncultured bacterium. Its description in RNAcentral is "bacterial SSU rRNA". It matches the Rfam family "Bacterial small subunit ribosomal RNA", at positions 164 to 853 of the family's 1533-position model. The record is from RNAcentral.